Molecule: long non-coding RNA, 496 nt
Organism: Symphalangus syndactylus (siamang)
Lineage: Eukaryota; Metazoa; Chordata; Mammalia; Primates; Hylobatidae
Source: RefSeq, a predicted model, not a curated record
CAGUGGGCGAGCCAAGGUCUCCUCCCUCGGGAGACUCUCGGACCUAGUGCAGGGAAAAGACACGAACAAGACCCCAAAGAUCUACGUGUAGGGAAGACUCCAAUAUAGAAUUGAGCAGUCCGGAGGAGGAAAAGUUAAUUCUGCCAGGAUUAGGCUUAUUUUCUCUUUCUUGAAAUCCCUGAUUUGUGAAUCACUUCUACCAUCUCUCUAUACCCACUGUGGAUGCUGCUCACUCCUCUUGCCCCUCAAGCUUCCUCCUACCCAGCUGUAUGCCCACUGGCAGGCAUCCUGUCUUGUUAACUGGAACUCUCUGCUGCCAGAGGAGCCAUCUCUAGAGGCACAAUGGGACUAGGCAGCUGCCAGUUGCUAUCACUCUACCACCCGGUCUAAAGCUCUCAGAGACAAGAUCUUGCUAUGUUGCCCAGGCUGGUCUCAAACUUGUGGCCUCAAGUUUCACAUAUGGGGGCAUUUUGGAUUUCCAACAUUCUGAUCAGGG